Small nuclear RNA from Mustela putorius furo (domestic ferret), 106 nucleotides. NCBI's taxonomy places the organism in Eukaryota, Metazoa, Chordata, Mammalia, Carnivora, Mustelidae. The record is from Ensembl.
GUGCUCGCUUCGGCAGCACAUACGCAGAAAUGGAAUGAUCCAGAGAAGAUUAAUGUGGCCUCUGCACAAGGAUGACGUUGAAAUUCAUGAAGCUUUGAAAUACAUU